RNAcentral lists this long non-coding RNA (385 nucleotides) under Ananas comosus (pineapple). RNAcentral's name for it is "long non-coding RNA (ACOM_LNC023526)". Lineage: Eukaryota; Viridiplantae; Streptophyta; Magnoliopsida; Poales; Bromeliaceae. The record is from RNAcentral.
AUUUAAUUUAUAUUUAUUUCAACAUUUAAAAUUUAAUUUUGAUCCAUUAUAAUUAAAUUUUUUGGAUAAGAAUGCUACUUUUUAACAGAUUAAUCAUAAAAAAUUUGGAUAAGCAUAAAUAUUUUUCUGUUAUAGAAAUAAAGAGGAAUUAAGAUUUUGUUUAUUUCUAUUAUUUAUUGUACGCAAGAAAAGAGGAAUCAAUAUUUUUUCUCGUAAUGGGUCUGUCAACAGACGAAAUUUGAAAUACGUGUUUUUAUAUAUAGUAUAGAUAGUAUAGAUAAAAUUUAUGGAUAAGAAUGUUAUUUUUUAACAGAUUAAUUAUAAAAAAUUGAGAUAAGCAUAAAUAUUUUUUUGUUAUAGAAAUAAAGAGGAAUUAUACCUUGUG